Nymphalis io (European peacock) is the source of this 377-nucleotide long non-coding RNA. RefSeq lists it as uncharacterized. The transcript has 2 exons. The record is from RefSeq and is a predicted model, not a curated record. Lineage: Eukaryota; Metazoa; Arthropoda; Insecta; Lepidoptera; Nymphalidae.
CAGUCAGCGUCAAAUAAUUAGAGACGCUCAGAGUAUUCAAAUAAAUAGACGCAACCAAAAAGUCAAAAAUAUCGGUACAAACAAAGUUCCCUUAUUGUUGUCAACAAUAUACUCGCUCAAAAGGUCGAGACGUUUAAAAUGUCAUAUAGAUCGUUUCAGUCAAACCGCCAUAAAUAUGGUUACAGUCAUCUCGCCAAUGGUAUCCAAGCAUUCUGAGUGUUCAAAAAUACGGAACACAUUAGAAAAAUUAACUUUACUGCUAUAUAUUUUAAAUAUAAUUUCUCACAUCAAAUAAUAAUAAAAUAUUUAUGCAUAAAAUGAAAGGGAUAGAAACAACUCCAAUCCUUUUCAUUUUAAGCACGAGGUCAUAGAUAUGU